RNAcentral lists this ribosomal RNA (506 nucleotides) under uncultured bacterium. RNAcentral's name for it is "partial 16S ribosomal RNA". It matches the Rfam family "Bacterial small subunit ribosomal RNA", at positions 29 to 523 of the family's 1533-position model. The record is from RNAcentral.
AACGAACGCUGGCGGUAUGCUUAACACAUGCAAGUCGAACGGCAGCAUGGUCUAGCUUGCUAGACUGAUGGCGAGUGGCGGACGGGUGAGUAACGCGUAGGAAUAUGCCUUGAAGAGUGGGACAACUUGGGGAAACUCAAGCUAAUACCGCAUGUACUCGAGAGAGUAAAGCUGGGGACCUUUAGGCCUGGCGCUUUAAGAUUAGCCUGCGUCCGAUUAGCUAGUUGGUAGGGUAAAGGCCUACCAAGGCGACGAUCGGUAGCUGGUCUGAGAGGAUGAUCAGCCACACUGGAACUGAGAGACGGUCCAGACUCCUACGGGAGGCAGCAGUGGGGAAUAUUGGACAAUGGGGGGAACCCUGAUCCAGCAAUGCCGCGUGUGUGAAGAAGGCCUGAGGGUUGUAAAGCACUUUCAGUGGCGAGGAGGUUUGGAAGGUUAAGAGCUAUUCAAAUGGACGUUACCCACAGAAGAAGCACCGGCUAACUCCGUGCCAGCCGCCGCAGUAA